UACGUAGGGGGCAAGCGUUGUCCGGAUUUAUUGGGCGUAAAGAGCGUGUAGGCGGCCAGGUAGGUCCGUUGUGAAAACUCGAGGCUCAACCUCGAGACGCCGAUGGAAACCAUCUGGCUAGAGUCCGGGAGAGGUGAGUGGAAUUCCCAGUGUAGCGGUGAAAUGCGCAGAUAUUGGGAGGAACACCAGUGGCGAAGGCGGCUCACUGGACUGGUACUGACGCUGAUGCGCGAAAGCGUGGGGAGCAAACAGG
This 253-nucleotide ribosomal RNA is filed under the name uncultured bacterium. RNAcentral describes it as "partial 16S ribosomal RNA". It matches the Rfam family "Bacterial small subunit ribosomal RNA", at positions 524 to 776 of the family's 1533-position model. The record is from RNAcentral.